AUUGAACGCUGGCGGCAUGCCUUACACAUGCAAGUCGAACGGCAGCACGGGGGGUAACCCCUGGUGGCGAGUGGCGAACGGGUGAGUAAUAUAUCGGAACGUGUCCUGUAGCGGGGGAUAACCUAUCGAAAGAUGGACUAAUACCGCAUACGACCUACGGGUGAAAGCGGAGGACCGCAAGGCUUCGCACUAUAGGAGCGGCCGAUAUCGGAUUAGCUAGUUGGCGGGGUAACGGCCCACCAAGGCGACGAUCCGUGGCUGGCCGGAGAGGGCGGUCGGCAAGACUGGGACUGAGGCACGGCCGAGACUCCUAUGGGAGGCAGCAGUGGGGAAUAUAGAGCAAUGGGCGCAAGCCUGAUGCAGAGACGCCGCGUGAGGGAUGGAGGCCUUCGGGUUGUGAACCUCUUGCGCCAGUGAAGCAGGCCUGCCUCGUUUGUGGGUGGGUUGACGGUAGCUGGAGAAGAAGCGCCGGCUAACUACGUG
RNAcentral lists this ribosomal RNA (483 nucleotides) under uncultured bacterium. RNAcentral's name for it is "partial 16S ribosomal RNA". It matches the Rfam family "Bacterial small subunit ribosomal RNA", at positions 28 to 507 of the family's 1533-position model. The record is from RNAcentral.